RNAcentral lists this ribosomal RNA (475 nucleotides) under Actinomyces israelii. RNAcentral's name for it is "bacterial SSU rRNA". It matches the Rfam family "Bacterial small subunit ribosomal RNA", at positions 28 to 484 of the family's 1533-position model. The record is from RNAcentral. Lineage: Bacteria; Bacillati; Actinomycetota; Actinomycetes; Actinomycetales; Actinomycetaceae.
GACGAACGCCGGCGGCGUGCUUAACACAUGCAAGUCGAACGGGUCUGCCUUGUUUUUUGCGGGGUGGGUCAGUGGCGAACGGGUGAGUAACACGUGAGUAACCUGCCCCUCACUUCUGGAUAACCGCUUGAAAGGGUGGCUAAUACGGGGUGUUCUGGCUGUGCCGCAUGGUGUGGCUGGGAAAGAUUCACUUUUGUGGUGUUUUGGUGGGGGAUGGGCUCGCGGCCUAUCAGCUUGUUGGUGGGGUGAUGGCCUGCCAAGGCUUUGACGGGUAGCCGGCCUGAGAGGGUGGGCGGUCACACUGGGACUGAGAUACGGCCCAGACUCCUGCGGGAGGCAGCAGUGGGGGGUAUUGCACAAUGGGCGGAAGCCUGAUGCAGCGACGUCGCGUGAGGGAUGGAGGCCUUCGGGUUGUGAACCUCUUUCGCCGGUGAAGAAGGUCCUGUUCUUUGUGGUGGGGCUGACGUAGCCGGGU